RNAcentral lists this ribosomal RNA (303 nucleotides) under uncultured bacterium. RNAcentral describes it as "partial 16S ribosomal RNA". It matches the Rfam family "Bacterial small subunit ribosomal RNA", at positions 507 to 808 of the family's 1533-position model. The record is from RNAcentral.
AGCAGCAGCCACGGUAAUACGUAGGUCCCGAGCGUUGUCCGGAUUUAUUGGGCGUAAAGCGAGCGCAGGCGGUUAGAUAAGUCUGAAGUUAAAGGCUGUGGCUUAACCAUAGUACGCUUUGGAAACUGUUUAACUUGAGUGCAAGAGGGGAGAGUGGAAUUCCAUGUGUAGCGGUGAAAUGCGUAGAUAUAUGGAGGAACACCGGUGGCGAAAGCGGCUCUCUGGCUUGUAACUGACGCUGAGGCUCGAAAGCGUGGGGCGCAAACAGGAUUAGAUACCCCUGUAGUCCCUGUCUCUUAUACA